This 369-nucleotide ribosomal RNA is filed under the name uncultured bacterium. RNAcentral's name for it is "bacterial SSU rRNA". It matches the Rfam family "Bacterial small subunit ribosomal RNA", at positions 527 to 896 of the family's 1533-position model. The record is from RNAcentral.
GUAGGGUGCAAGCGUUAAUCGGAAUUACUGGGCGUAAAGCGUGCGCAGGCGGUUAUGCAAGACAGAUGUGAAAUCCCCGGGCUUAACCUGGGAACUGCAUUUGUGACUGCAUAGCUAGAGUGCGGCAGAGGGGGAUGGAAUUCCGCGUGUAGCAGUGAAAUGCGUAGAUAUGCGGAGGAACACCGAUGGCGAAGGCAAUCCCCUGGGCCUGCACUGACGCUCAUGCACGAAAGCGUGGGGAGCAAACAGGAUUAGAUACCCUGGUAGUCCACGCCCUAAACGAUGUCAACUGGUUGUUGGGAGGGUUCCUUCUCAGUAACGUAGCUAACGCGUGAAGUUGACCGCCUGGGGAGUACGGCCGCAAGGUUG